Molecule: ribosomal RNA, 391 nt
Filed under: uncultured bacterium
Lineage: Bacteria
Description: partial 16S ribosomal RNA
Rfam family: Bacterial small subunit ribosomal RNA
Source: RNAcentral
UGGGGAAUUUUGGACAAUGGCGAAAGCCUGAUCCAGCAAUGCCGCGUGUGUGAAGAAGGCCUUCGGGUUGUAAAGCACUUUUGUCCGGAAAGAAAUCCUUGGCUCUAAUACAGUCGGGGGAUGACGGUACCGGCAAGAAUAAGCACCGGCUAACUACGUGCCAGCAGCCGCGGUAAUAGCGUAGGGUGCAAGCGUUAAUCGGAAUUACUGGGCGUAAAAGCGUGCGCAGGCGGUUUGCAAGACCGAUGUGAAAUCCCCGGGCUCAAUCCUGGGAACUGCAUUGGUGAANUGGCAGGCUAGAGUAUGGCAGAGGGGGGUAGAAUUCCACGGUGUCAGCAGUGAAAUGCGUAGAGAUGUGGAGGAAUACCGAUGGCGAAGGCAGCCCCCUGGG